UGAUUGGCAGUACAACUGCCCCCAAGCCUGUCCCUAAGUGAGACACCAAGCCAGGCCUCAGGGGGACAGUGGUCUAAAUGUGGUUUCCCGUGGCUCCCAGCCUCCCAGGUGCCCAUCACAAUGACCCUCAGGUGGCAGUGAUUAGGUGUCACUGUACAAGACAUUUCUCCUGCUGAGCAGAAGGCAUCACCCCUGCAAACUACCUCUUCCCACAACGACUUUCUCCCCUGGAACCAAAAAGCACCCUGUACCUCCUUCCCCUCCUCCUCCUCCUCUCCUGCCAACGCAGUGGCCUUGGUCUUGGAAAACAGAAGGAAGAAGUCUGGCCUGGGUGGGAUCUCCCUUUGUCUCCCAGCCUGCCAUUGGCACAACCCUCUGGUGGGGGGGGGGUGUGUGCCAUACUCAGAAACCCCUGCCCUCGCCCUGUGCAAAGCAGAGAGGAAGGCACAGCACAGUACACAGUUGGAACCGGAGGUGGCCCUGGCGGAAUUCCACUCUAACUUAUUUUGAAGUGUAUACAAACCAACGGUUUAGCGAUUCCACUUGUGCAGAGCCCUACUGUGUUUUUAUGUUCCUGUUUAAAAGAGAAGUUUACUUAGCAAUAAUUAUAAAUAAAUGAGUAUUCUUUAGCGA
Molecule: long non-coding RNA, 633 nt
Filed under: Rattus norvegicus (Norway rat)
Lineage: Eukaryota; Metazoa; Chordata; Mammalia; Rodentia; Muridae
Description: long non-coding RNA NONRATT000839
Source: RNAcentral